Molecule: ribosomal RNA, 325 nt
Filed under: uncultured eukaryote
Lineage: Eukaryota
Description: partial 18S ribosomal RNA
Rfam family: Eukaryotic small subunit ribosomal RNA
Source: RNAcentral
CCCUUAGAUGUUCUGGGCCGCACGCGCGCUACACUGACGAUGGCAACGAGUUUUUCCUUCGCCGAAAGGUGUGGGUAAUCUUUUGAAACAUCGUCGUGCUGGGGAUAGAUCAUUGCAAUUUUUGAUCUUGAACGAGGAAUUCCUAGUAAGCGCGAGUCAUCAGCUCGCGUUGAUUACGUCCCUGCCCUUUGUACACACCGCCCGUCGCUACUACCGAUUGAACGUUUUAGUGAGGCAUUUGGACCGACGCAUCUCAGUUUAACCGCUGGUUUGUGUUGGAAAGACUUCCAAACUUGAGCGUUUAGAGGAAGUAAAAGUCGUAACA